This 515-nucleotide ribosomal RNA is filed under the name Davidiellaceae sp. PIMO_81.2. RNAcentral describes it as "eukaryotic LSU rRNA". The stretch from base 161 to 314 matches the Rfam family "5.8S ribosomal RNA". The record is from RNAcentral. Lineage: Eukaryota; Fungi; Ascomycota; Dothideomycetes; Cladosporiales; Cladosporiaceae.
CAUUACAAGAACGCCCGGGCUUCGGCCUGGUUAUUCAUAACCCUUUGUUGUCCGACUCUGUUGCCUCCGGGGCGACCCUGCCUUCGGGCGGGGGCUCCGGGUGGACACUUCAAACUCUUGCGUAACUUUGCAGUCUGAGUAAACUUAAUUAAUAAAUUAAAACUUUUAACAACGGAUCUCUUGGUUCUGGCAUCGAUGAAGAACGCAGCGAAAUGCGAUAAGUAAUGUGAAUUGCAGAAUUCAGUGAAUCAUCGAAUCUUUGAACGCACAUUGCGCCCCCUGGUAUUCCGGGGGGCAUGCCUGUUCGAGCGUCAUUUCACCACUCAAGCCUCGCUUGGUAUUGGGCAACGCGGUCCGCCGCGUGCCUCAAAUCGUCCGGCUGGGUCUUCUGUCCCCUAAGCGUUGUGGAAACUAUUCGCUAAAGGGUGUUCGGGAGGCUACGCCGUAAAACAACCCCAUUUCUAAGGUUGACCUCGGAUCAGGUAGGGAUACCCGCUGAACUUAAGCAUAUCAAU